RNAcentral lists this ribosomal RNA (255 nucleotides) under uncultured bacterium. RNAcentral describes it as "partial 16S ribosomal RNA". It matches the Rfam family "Bacterial small subunit ribosomal RNA", at positions 524 to 776 of the family's 1533-position model. The record is from RNAcentral.
UACGUAGGGUGCGAGCGUUGUCCGGAAUUACUGGGCGUAAAGAGCUCGUAGGCGGUGUGUCACGUCGGCCGUGAAAACCUGCAGCUUAACUGUGGGCGUGCGGUCGAUACGGGCAUCACUGGAGUUCGGCAGGGGAGACUGGAAUUCCUGGUGUAGCGGUGAAAUGCGCAGAUAUCAGGAGGAACACCGGUGGCGAAGGCGGGUCUCUGGGCCGAUACUGACGCUGAGGAGCGAAAGCGUGGGGGAGCAAACAGG